Molecule: ribosomal RNA, 478 nt
Filed under: uncultured bacterium
Lineage: Bacteria
Description: partial 16S ribosomal RNA
Rfam family: Bacterial small subunit ribosomal RNA
Source: RNAcentral
GAUGAACGCUAGCGGCAGGCUUAACACAUGCAAGUCGAGGGGUAUUUAUCUUCGGAUAGAGAGACCGGCGCACGGGUGCGUAACGCGUAUGCAAUCUACCUUUUACAGAGGGAUAGCCCAGAGAAAUUUGGAUUAAUACCUCAUAGUAUAUAGACUCGGCAUCGAGAUUAUAUUAAAGUCACAACGGUAAAAGAUGAGCAUGCGUCCCAUUAGCUAGUUGGUAAGGUAACGGCUUACCAAGGCUACGAUGGGUAGGGGUCCUGAGAGGGAGAUCCCCCACACGGGUACUGAGACACGGACCAGACUCCUACUGGAGGCAGCAGUGAGGAAUAUUGGACAAUGGGCGCAAGCCUGAUCCAGCCAUGCCGCGUGCAGGAUGACGGUCCUAUGGAUUGUAAACUGCUUUUAUACGAGAAGAAACACUGCUACGUGUAGCAGCUUGACGGUAUCGUAAGAAUAAGGAUCGGCUAACUCCGUG